This 253-nucleotide ribosomal RNA is filed under the name uncultured bacterium. Its description in RNAcentral is "partial 16S ribosomal RNA". It matches the Rfam family "Bacterial small subunit ribosomal RNA", at positions 524 to 776 of the family's 1533-position model. The record is from RNAcentral.
UACGGGGGGGGCAAGCGUUGUUCGGAAUUACUGGGCGUAAAGGGUUUGUAGGUGGCCCGCUAAGUCACACGUGAAAUCCCUCAGCUUAACUGGGGAACUGCGUCCGAUACUGGCAGGCUUGAAUCCGGGAGAGGGAUGUGGAAUUCCAGGUGUAGCGGUGAAAUGCGUAGAUAUCUGGAGGAACACCGGUGGCGAAGGCGGCAUCCUGGACCGGUAUUGACGCUGAUGCGCGAAAGCCAGGGGAGCAAACGGG